UCAUGUUCUGUAAAGGAUCCA
Molecule: small nuclear RNA, 21 nt
Filed under: Arabidopsis thaliana (thale cress)
Lineage: Eukaryota; Viridiplantae; Streptophyta; Magnoliopsida; Brassicales; Brassicaceae
Description: snRNA_11466
Source: RNAcentral